This 1528-nucleotide ribosomal RNA is filed under the name Escherichia coli DEC2C. Its description in RNAcentral is "bacterial SSU rRNA". It matches the Rfam family "Bacterial small subunit ribosomal RNA". The record is from RNAcentral. Lineage: Bacteria; Pseudomonadati; Pseudomonadota; Gammaproteobacteria; Enterobacterales; Enterobacteriaceae. RNAcentral also lists the same sequence under 1 other name.
GAGUUUGAUCAUGGCUCAGAUUGAACGCUGGCGGCAGGCCUAACACAUGCAAGUCGAACGGUAACAGAAAGCAGCUUGCUGCUUUGCUGACGAGUGGCGGACGGGUGAGUAAUGUCUGGGAAACUGCCCGAUGGAGGGGGAUAACUACUGGAAACGGUAGCUAAUACCGCAUAACGUCGCAAGACCAAAGAGGGGGACCUUAGGGCCUCUUGCCAUCGGAUGUGCCCAGAUGGGAUUAGCUAGUAGGUGGGGUAACGGCUCACCUAGGCGACGAUCCCUAGCUGGUCUGAGAGGAUGACCAGCCACACUGGAACUGAGACACGGUCCAGACUCCUACGGGAGGCAGCAGUGGGGAAUAUUGCACAAUGGGCGCAAGCCUGAUGCAGCCAUGCCGCGUGUAUGAAGAAGGCCUUCGGGUUGUAAAGUACUUUCAGCGGGGAGGAAGGGAGUAAAGUUAAUACCUUUGCUCAUUGACGUUACCCGCAGAAGAAGCACCGGCUAACUCCGUGCCAGCAGCCGCGGUAAUACGGAGGGUGCAAGCGUUAAUCGGAAUUACUGGGCGUAAAGCGUACGCAGGCGGUUUGUUAAGUCAGAUGUGAAAUCCCCGGGCUCAACCUGGGAACUGCAUCUGAUACUGGCAAGCUUGAGUCUCGUAGAGGGGGGUAGAAUUCCAGGUGUAGCGGUGAAAUGCGUAGAGAUCUGGAGGAAUACCGGUGGCGAAGGCGGCCCCCUGGACGAAGACUGACGCUCAGGUGCGAAAGCGUGGGGAGCAAACAGGAUUAGAUACCCUGGUAGUCCACGCCGUAAACGAUGUCGACUUGGAGGUUGUGCCCUUGAGGCGUGGCUUCCGGAGCUAACGCGUUAAGUCGACCGCCUGGGGAGUACGGCCGCAAGGUUAAAACUCAAAUGAAUUGACGGGGGCCCGCACAAGCGGUGGAGCAUGUGGUUUAAUUCGAUGCAACGCGAAGAACCUUACCUGGUCUUGACAUCCACGGAAGUUUUCAGAGAUGAGAAUGUGCCUUCGGGAACCGUGAGACAGGUGCUGCAUGGCUGUCGUCAGCUCGUGUUGUGAAAUGUUGGGUUAAGUCCCGCAACGAGCGCAACCCUUAUCCUUUGUUGCCAGCGGUCCGGCCGGGAACUCAAAGGAGACUGCCAGUGAUAAACUGGAGGAAGGUGGGGAUGACGUCAAGUCAUCAUGGCCCUUACGACCAGGGCUACACACGUGCUACAAUGGCGCAUACAAAGAGAAGCGACCUCGCGAGAGCAAGCGGACCUCAUAAAGUGCGUCGUAGUCCGGAUUGGAGUCUGCAACUCGACUCCAUGAAGUCGGAAUCGCUAGUAAUCGUGGAUCAGAAUGCCACGGUGAAUACGUUCCCGGGCCUUGUACACACCGCCCGUCACACCAUGGGAGUGGGUUGCAAAAGAAGUAGGUAGCUUAACCUUCGGGAGGGCGCUUACCACUUUGUGAUUCAUGACUGGGGUGAAGUCGUAACAAGGUAACCGUAGGGGAACCUGCGGUUGGAUCACC